GUAAUAACAACGAUACAUGUAGAUCACAGGUGUCAAACAUGCGGCCCGGGGGCCAAAUCCGACCCGCCAAAGGCUUCAGUCUGGCCCAUGCGAUAGAUUUGUGAAAUGCAAAAAUUACACUCAAGGUAUUA
Sphaeramia orbicularis (orbiculate cardinalfish) is the source of this 131-nucleotide long non-coding RNA. RefSeq lists it as uncharacterized. The record is from RefSeq and is a predicted model, not a curated record. Lineage: Eukaryota; Metazoa; Chordata; Actinopteri; Kurtiformes; Apogonidae. The transcript is spliced from 3 exons.